This 250-nucleotide ribosomal RNA is filed under the name uncultured beta proteobacterium. Its description in RNAcentral is "partial 16S ribosomal RNA". It matches the Rfam family "Bacterial small subunit ribosomal RNA", at positions 86 to 339 of the family's 1533-position model. Lineage: Bacteria; Pseudomonadati; Pseudomonadota; Betaproteobacteria. The record is from RNAcentral.
UGAUGGCGAGUGGCGAACGGGUGAGUAAUAUAUCGGAACGUGCCCAGUAAUGGGGAACAACUAAUUGAAAGAUUAGCUAAUACCGCAUACGACCUACGGGUGAAAGCAGGGGAUCUUCGGACCUUGCGUUAUUGGAGCGGCCGAUAUCUGAUUAGCUUGUUGGUAGGGUAAAAGCCUACCAAGCCGACGAUCAGUAGCUGGUCUGAGAGGACGAUCAGCCACACUGGAACUGAGACACGGUCCAGACUCC